RNAcentral lists this non-coding RNA (121 nucleotides) under Pseudoalteromonas citrea. The record is from RNAcentral. Lineage: Bacteria; Pseudomonadati; Pseudomonadota; Gammaproteobacteria; Alteromonadales; Pseudoalteromonadaceae.
UAAUAGUGACUGUUUGUUGGUGUUUCUUGGGAAUGAACUGAAAGUGUUCAACUGUCCCCGCAACUGUAAAAGCAUUGGAUAUGCUCAAGUCAGAUACCAAGACCGGCAACUUUCUCAUGAG